This 376-nucleotide unclassified non-coding RNA is filed under the name Ligustrum sempervirens. RNAcentral's name for it is "partial external transcribed spacer". The record is from RNAcentral. Lineage: Eukaryota; Viridiplantae; Streptophyta; Magnoliopsida; Lamiales; Oleaceae.
GGUAUGUUGGAUCCCUGCUAGGGCAGCGACUACAUCCUCUUCAUGCCUGUUCAUUCGAUGGUCGGAUUUUGCAUGCGGUCAUCUAGAUUUCGGUUCCCUGUGUUGCAUACCUGUUGCAAAGGUAUCCUGUUGGCUAAAAUGACCCUAUUUCGCCCUACGCUACGAAUUAUAUUGCGGCUGAAGGUGAACCUAAAAGCAUUCAUCGUGUUCCAACCUGUUCACUUCAAUUGUGGCGGGAUUUGGACCUCGAUGAUGUGCUCGAAUUCUCGGAUACGGAAAACUAAGUGGGUACGAGGACCUCGAUCCUCUGUUUACCCUGAACAAGCGUUCUACGCAUCGUGCGAAUGACGUUCUUCCUUGUUUUGGACUUCUGUCC